Molecule: non-coding RNA, 17123 nt
Organism: Monodelphis domestica (gray short-tailed opossum)
Lineage: Eukaryota; Metazoa; Chordata; Mammalia; Didelphimorphia; Didelphidae
Source: RefSeq, a predicted model, not a curated record
UAGAAUAUUUUUCCAUGGUUAUAUGAUUUGUUUUUUCCCUCCCCUUCAUUCUCCCCCCUCCCAGAGCCAAGGAGCAAUUCUACUUGGUUUUACAUUUCUCAUUGCUCAAAACCUAUUUCCAUAUUAUUAAUAUUUGCAACAAAGUGAUCAUUUAAAGUCAGCAUCCCCAAUCAUAUCCCCAUUGAACCAUGUGAUCAGACUUAUGUUUUUCUUCUGCGUUUCUACUCCCACAGAACAUGGAUCUAGGGUUAGAAGGGAUCCAAGAAGUCCCUGAGCCCAACCUCCUCAUUUCACGGAGGGCCAAACUGUGCCAUAUUCUAAUAUCAGGGUCCCAGAGGGAAAAAUGUCCCAAUUACUUUAUUUUAGGACCAAUUACUAUGUAUUUCUCUGUCAGACCCAGCUCUGAGAUUCCAUCUAGUCUAUGGUUUCUUGCAUUUCCUUGGUCCUUAAGUAUCCCAAAGAACUUUUUUUUUUUUGUCAACAGAAUUUGGUGACUGAGUGAAGGGGGCAAAGAGGAUUUUCAGGCCUGAGAGGGAACCUUCCCAAGUCCCCCUGUGUGUAACGGGGACAGGCUGAGAGUUGGCUAGACCAUCUCCUCAUCAGGCUUUCACCAGUUAGGGGUGUCUCAGGGUGCUCCAGGGAGGUACUGAAUAAUGAGCCCCUCAAACUCUGUUAAACUCCCUGAAUAGCUUCCAGAAGAGGUUGGCCCCAAGGAAAGGCAAUAACCAGCUUAUAUGGGGUUUGAUACAUGCUGAGCCUGUGGCUGAGGGGAGUGGAGAGAAGCAAGAGGCUGAACUGCAGACAACUGGCCAUCCUUGUUUAUAGACCAGAGGAGGAGGACCCAGACACCCCAAGUUUGGGGUAAAAAGGAGAUAUGAGUCAGAGAAGACUGUGGAGGGGGAGCAGGAGACAACGAUGGUGCUAGGAUCCAAGGCCAGGACCCAGCAGAGGAGGGAGAAGUGGAGGGGAAAUACGGGAUGGGCAGCAAGUGACUUGUGUGAAAGUAGGCAAGGAAUGGAGGAGGGGGAAGGAGGGUUUAACUCUGAGGCCUUUUUUACAGGCCCACUUCUACAUGGCAAAGCUUAAGAUUCCACCUCUCCAGUUUAAAUCAGAGACUACCUAGGUAGACUGCUCAUUUCUCUCUCUCAAAUAAAUAAUUGCGAAUUUAAUGUAAGUCUCCAAGAUGAAUUACAAUAAUAAUAAGGGGGAACAGGCUUCCCUGGACACCCCAAAUUUCUAAAGGCAUCCCAGGUCAAAGAGAACAUGAGGAAUUCUCCUGCAGUGCUGGCUGAAGGAAGCCAAUCUCAGAGCAGUAGAAGCUGUAUGACAGAAGGAGUUUCUGAGAGAUAAGACUCAAGCCUUUCCCCAACCUUUUGAUGGGCAUCAAAGGGAACUCUGUACCUGCCAAGCAGCCUCUUGCCCUCUGGAAGAUAUCAUCAACCAAAGUGGGAAAUUCUUCACUGCAUAAGGCACCAUUAAAGACUUUUUAGGUGUGACUCCUUGGAUAUCAUCCUAAACUUCCAGAAUUUGCCCCACAGGUGAACAAGAUGAAGUCUCUCCACCUUAGGGCUUCCACUCCCUCUAGGACCACAGUCUGGCCGAGGCAGAGACCCUGGAGCCAGAGGGAAUGGCCACUGGGACCCCGAGGCCCCCAUCCCCGGUGAGUGAAUUCCAUCUUCAGCCCUGGCCAAGCUCCCCCAAGGUAGAAUCCAGCUGAACCUCUGUCUUUCCCAGGCCUUUAGGGGUGCCAUCACUAUUUGCUGUCAGUGUGAGCUCAAAGGUCACAUACAAUACCGAACUGUGUGCUGGGGCUUUUCCAGGGCCUCUGUAGCUCCUGCCUGGAUGAGGUUCCAGAGAGACAGGAACAAGCACUGUCAUUUAUUCAUCCACCCUCCAGUGUGAUACCCUCUGUCAGUGGGGGAUGGCAGUGUGUUCCAGAAUUCCAGGGAUGGCACAAGGACUAUCUCUGCUCCUGACCUCCAGGAACCUGGGUAUGGAUAGGUCAGUCAGGCUUGUCAGGGAGGCUUCAGAAGAAUUUUGGGACAAGAUCAGGUGAUGGCACAGACAGGAAAAGGUAUGUUUUUAGCAGAAGAAAAAGGAUGGUAAUUCCAGGGGAGGGCUAAAAGGUCUGCUUUUCAAAUAUUAAAAUAUCAGUGCACUUAACAUACAGAAACUUUAGGUCUUUCCUUUUCCUAGGAAAAUCAUUUAUCUUGAACCUAAAAGGAUUAUCUAAGCUAUGGCUUUCUCAAUAGUUUUCAUUUUGGUUCUUUUAUUUUUUAACUUUUUUUUUUAAUUUUGACUAUUUUUCCAUGGUUACAUGCUUCAUGUUCCCUCCUUACCCUCUUCCCUGCUCCCUUCCAGAGCUGACAAGCAGUUCUACUGGUUUAGCCAUGUAUUAUUGCUCAAAACCUAAUUCCAUAUUACUCAUAUUUGUAAUAGAGUGAUCUUUCAAAACCAAAACCCCCAAUCAUAUACUCAUAGAACCAUGUGAUAAAUCAUAUGUUUUUCUUCUAAGUUUCUACUCCCACAGUUCUUCCUCUGGAUGUGGAUAGCAUUCUUUCUCUCACAAGUCCUUCAGGAUUGUCCUGGAUCAUUGCAUUACUACUAGUAGAAAAAUCUAUUACAUUUCAUUGUCCCACAGUGUUUCAGUUACGGUGGAUGAUGUACAACACUGAACUUGAGGAUCUUGUGCAAUUUUUUCUCCCUUCUUUCUUUUUUCUAGGGACUAUUUAAAGGAUUAUUUGCCUUAGACAUAAAAACUGAAUCUUCCUGUUAAGACAGGCUCAGACCUUUGACACAUAGAAAAAAUUGAAUAAGAUAAUGGAGCUGUGGGGCUUGUUCGGUUCUCAUUUCAAAUAAUUCUGCCCUGGAUUUUAACUCUUAUUCGUGGCUUAAUAACUUUAAGUGAAGUUCUUAAUAAAAACAGUUGUUUCCUGUCUCAAAAAUUUGUUUCCAACUUCUCACUUCAGUAACCUAGAUUUCUUUAACAUUUCCUUCUUGCUCUUUAAGACACUGAUUUAGAGAUGUAUAUACAACAUAUUUAUAAUAUUACUGCAUCAUAAAACUAGCUUACGCUUUAAAAUUUUUUGAAGGCUAUUUUAUCAAAUGAACAACUUUAGACUUCCCUAAAAAGCAAAUUCUUUCUAGAGUUUGUGAAUAGCAAACACUGAACCCACUUGGAUAAGGUCCUCCAAACCUCCUACACAAAUUUUCUCUUCUGAGAAGGAAUAGAAAGCACCCAGGUAUAGAUAAAGUCCAUCCAACUAUGGGGAAGACACAAGUUGACCAAAUUUAACUCUGGUGGAGAUAUAAGAUUACCCCUGUGGCCUUCUUUCUUUGAACCUGCAUGUGGCUCACUAGACAUUUUAAAGAAAAGGAUAGUAACAACAAUAUACACCAAUAUGACAGAAGUUGACCCAAAAUAGCCUAUGAAAAAAUCACCCCUAACAACAUGGGGCACACCUCAGUUUAUAGUGGGUUCGUUAAUGAGGUGGACUCAGAAAACAUAGUCCCCCUAAAAGAAAAGCUCCUGAGAAUCCUCAGAACUUUUUCCUAAGGGAUCUCAGAAUCCUGACAUAUCACAUCAUAGUGAUAAACUGCAAGAAAUAAAGAAAUUCCAGGCUAAAGAUCCAAACUUUUAAUUGUGAUAAAUGAAAGCUAGAGAUAGCACCUCACCCAGCCUGGAGCAAAGGUUCCAUAUAGACAUACAACAGUAUAUUUUACAGAUUUUUCACAGAUAUGAUGGGAGGUCCUAGGUUCAAAUGUGACCCAGACACUUCCCAGCUGUGUGACCCUGGACAAGUAACUUGACCCCCAUUGCCUAUCCCUUACCACUCUUCUGCCUUGGAGCCAAUACACAGUAUUGACACUGUAAACCUCAAAAUUUCUUAGACUUAUAAAUGUUGGAAUCUCAGAGCACACUGCAACCACUCUGACAAACUCCUAAAACCACCAACCUGAGUCUUCAGACCCCUCUCUCUUUAAGGAAACCAUCCAAGUUGCCUCCCCUCAGUUCUCACAUCUACCAAUCACUGUCCAUCAAUUUCCCUGUGCCAAUGGAGGCUCUAGCUUAACCCAGGACCACCCAGAGGUCUCUGGCUUUGCACAUGUCUGUUGAAGGUCAUAUUUUCAAAUAAUUAAAUUUUGAUCUAUGCUGCAGCCCUUCCUCAAUCCUGUUAGGACUGAGUAGGGUGGAGAUUGAUUCCAAGUAUCUCCAUUGUAUCAAUUCCAAAAUCAAUCAUGACUCAAAGAAAUUCCUGUUCUAUGCUUAAGCAUAGGUCAAAGUCCUUUCCAUUGUUCAGCAAAAGGUUUCUGUCCUAAAGUAAUCUUAAGAAGGGAGGAGGGGGAAACUCUCAUGCCAAUGGGGUUCACAUUCCAAUAGCCAAGACCCACUAUCAAUAGGAAAUUUUUCAAGUAUGAAAUUUCCCAAUGGUGAAAUUUCCAACAUUUAUAAGUCUAAGAAAUUUUGAGGUUUACAACACCAAGAUGAAAGGUAAGGGUUUAAAAAAAAAAGUAGAAUAAAAUUAUAUACCUGAUAGAAAACAAACAGAAGAAGAAGCAAACAAUGUAAUGAUCCUACCACACUUUCCUUUCUCUGACUUAUAUCUUCUCACAAACUAGAUUGUCAAUUAACAAAAUAUAUACAAGCUUUACAAACAAGAAUAGCAGAGUUGCAUGAAAUGGGCUUGAUGCAACAAACAGUACCCCUGGAUUACAAUUUGCACACCAUCAAACCAGGAGACAUAGUAAACUUAAAAAAUUUCAAUAGAAAAUUGGCUACAGAUAUAAAAUGGACUGGACCACAUGAAGUAUUGCUUACUACCCCAACAGCUAUAAAAUUGCAUGGAAAGACUCAUGGUUCCACUGUUCCCAUGUAAAACCAGAAAAAUAGUGACACAUAGUGUUUGAGACAACAAGAUCCUAGCAGUUAAGCAUGCCAUAGUGGGAAGAUAACUUUCCAGCCCAGAGGAAAAGCAUCCCAGAGGAAAAGAUUUUAAACCAGCCCAGAGUAAAAGCAUCAAGAAAAGCUGCUAGAGAGAAGAAACAAAGAAAGGGAGAAAAAAAAGCUGAAAUGGACAGCUAAGACUUUGAACUUUGUAAAUUUGUUUAUAUAAGAAGAGGACAGAUGGGAAAUGAGACUUAUGUGUAAGACAGAAUGUGUUGAAAUAAUAAAACAAAAGUAAUUUCACAUAUUAAGGAAAUAGCAUGCAUCACUACAUAUCUUGGAAGAAAGAAGAGAUCCAUCAGUCAACAUGAGAAGUGGAAAUCUGAAGAAACUUGAUAAGUAUUAAUUCAACACAACACUAUUAGACACAAAGCACAAAAUCACAAACUGACAUAUUGGGAGAUCUUGUUUAAAUAAAGAAGUGUCUGAAAUUGUGUUUGUGCAAAAUGUAAAUAUGCAUAUAGUUAGUUCCAUAAGGUCUUAGGCAAAUAGAAAGAUCAAUAGAUAGUUCUAUUUGACUGACAUCAAGAUUAGGGAACUAUGUAUAUUAUUGUAUUAUGUAAAUAGUCUCUAUAAAUAAUAUAUAUACUAUAAUUAGGUUAGUAACAUAGUGGUAGAGUCUGUAAAUAUUUAGCAUAGCAUGUAUAUAUGUUGUACAUAAGAUUAGGUUAUAGAUUAUAGUAGAGACUGUGACCUUGAAAAUAUGGUUUCAAAUCAAAAAUAUAGUGGUCGCCAUGGGAAAAUUCCCAAAUAUUAAAUAUACCCAAGUUAGCUGGGUUUUAUAGAGAUUUUAAUUAAUACAAAUGAGGAAUUAAGGAAAGGGAGAGAGAAUAAGAGAGGAAUAAGUAUGAAGGGCCUUAGCCAACAUGGCCUAAGCCUGAGCCUUAAGAGAGAGAUCAGUCAGUCUUUAAUCACUCACCACAAGAUCCUUCCCAAGCAAGAUUCUAGUGUUCAGAGAAACCCACCAGUUCAGCUCCUCAGCUUAACUAAGUUCAGCCAUCAAGCCCUCCACUUCAGCUUUGGCAAGCUGAGUCCUCCCAGAGGCCUAAACCUCUUCCUUUUAAAGAAAAUUUUCUCCUAUGUCACCUCCCCUAAGUUUUCACAUCUACCAAUUCACAGUAGACUUUUUCACAGGACUGACCAUUCUUAAUUCACACCUGAGUAGACUAAACUUUUGAGUAAUUCACACCAGAGUAGACUAAAACCUCACACCUCUUGCUAAGCUUGCUUGACCUUUUAGUGAUUAAUUUGACCUUCAUAGGUACUUAGCACCUUUUUGUAUUAGAUCUAAAAAUAGACUUAGCUUAAGGUUUUUUAGCUUUACUUUAAGUAUGGAUUAAGUACUUUUCAUUGUUCAUUAAAGAAUUUACUUUAUCUUCCCCUAAAGUAUGCUUAAGUAUGGGUGGAGUAGAGUUCUCACAUUCCUGAUCAAGUACCUUCAUUGUUUAAAAUGGGGAAUGGUCUUAACCAAGUGUUUUGAAGUAGGGUCUGAGAAUUUUUAAGAUUCACAAGACUUAGAUAAUAGUUAUAGUAAGUAGGGAAUAGAUUAGGAGUAAGUUAAAUAUAACGUAGACAGUUAUACUUAGGAAUAGACUUAAGCUGUAUUUGCAGAUAGUUUUAAUUGUUUAUUAUAAAGUUGAUGCUGAAAUUAUAUUUAAUGGAAAUGUAUAUAGAUAAAAUAGUUUGCAAAUAAUAAUAGAUAUAUAAAAUAGGAAAACUGUUUUAGUUUAACUUAGCAAGAGUAAGUAGUAUUAGCACCGAUUCAAAUUUCUUUGUAAUGGUUUUGUUCAAACAUUUAUUGUACUGAAUUUAUUGUAAAACUCUAAAACUACCCUUACCCAAACUUUCCUGCAUAGAAUUCCUUAGAGUAGAUUAGAAUAGCAUAGAAUAGUAGAAGUUAGCAUAGAAUAGUGAUAUAGUAAUUGAGGGAAGUUUAUUAUUUUGGGGGAACUAAUUAGAAAUUAGAUUUAGUAGUUUGGUAAGUAUAAUAAAAAUAAGUGACCUUAGGAAGGUCACAACAAAAAAAGGGGAUAGUUGUGGAAAGGAAAAUGAAAACAAGUUCUGGACUUUCUGCCACUGAGUUGGAACAAACAGCAGGUGGAAUGCUAGAGAGAAGAAAUUGACAAGACUGACGGUUGGGGAAGGGGCAACUGGUAGUGGCAGUUGGUCUUGUGAUGAGCACUUUCUUCUUGGCCUUGGAAGUGGAAAAAACUCUCCCUGUCUCUGAUUAGUAGUGCCUCUAUUUUCCUGAUUUUCCCAAUUGUGUACUCUCCCUGGAUUCUUGUGAUUGUGUCAUCGACAAAAGGAUUUAAGGGAAGCAGUUUGGACUGUAAGGCCAGUCUUCAGGAGCUUCAGCCCAAAGAGACAGGCCCACCAGCUCUGAAGGUCAGAACUUUCUUCCUCUUGCUGUCUUCUGCUAAGACUUUGAAAUUAAGAAAAUUAGCACAGAUUAGCAUAGACAGGAAUAAGAGAAACUGACCACCAGCCUGUGAGGGCUGGCCUCAGCUCAAAAGCUGAGAGACUCAAACCUCAUCUAGGGAAUCCCUCUUCCCUGAUACCCUCCAUAAUCCAAACUUGUUAUUAAAAGUUAUCUUUAUUUGAAUAUUGCAGUCAGAUCAGAGGACUAUCUUCAGGGGACUUAGAGGGAGCUGAACCUCAGGAGAGCCAUUCAACCAAAAACAGUCCUUAUUGGAUCCCUGCUGGAUGACCUUGGUCUGGGGGAGGCUUGUCCCUCAGGAGAGUCCAUGCUUACCUGCUCUGGGGCAUCUUCGGCAUCAAUCCAUAGAGAAAAUAUCCCUGCAGGCUAUCAUAAGUGGCCCAUUUUUGGGGAACCCACUUUUUUUUAAAAAAAUACUGUCUCAGCAGGGGGCAUCUCCUUUUGCCUCACUGGCAGCCAUAUUUCCUCUCUCCCUUCAACUACUCCAUUCCCUGCUACAAACCUACCGUAUCCCCUGUUCUUCACAUCCCACCCAUUUUCCCAGUAAAUAUUACAAUUGUAUUUAAGUGGCUGUAACUCCUCCUUUGGCCUCUUUUAUUUUUUGACUUGUGACCCAGUUGAAUUCAGGUAGUUCUUUUCCUCUAGUUAUUAUUAAUAACUUUAAAAAUAUAAUAGUUAUUGAAUAUUAAUUUUAAAACUCACAUUUUGGCUUGCCAUAAAGGGAUUACACAGAUGAUGAUGGAUGGACUUCAUCAAAAGCUAUAUACAACCUUUAGAGAAUUUAAUAAGCUAAGAAUUUAAUCAUAAUUUUAAAGAGUCUUCAGAAAUAAUUUUACAUAACUAGUAGUUUCUGAAUAAAUGAUAUUUUAUAUUUAUAUUAAAAGAAUGUUGUAUUAAAGGUAGAGAAACAAAGAAAUGUUCCUACCAAGGUGUUUCUAUGUAGUAGGAAGUCAAAAAAAGAGCUCAUGCAAAACUCUUCGUUUUAAUUUACUUCCACCAGAACAAUCUAGAUUUCUUGAUGAUAUUCUAGACCCAAAUAAGUUUUACUUUGUUUAAAAAUAUGUUUGCUAAGGUUGAAAAAUUUGCUACAUCUUUAAAAAUUGUGACAAAUAUCCAUCAUUUCAUAGGGUUUUUUUUAUGUCAUACAGCAACUUAUGUGAAAUGUGAUAGUGGGUUUGUUUGCUAUUGUAAUUAACUGGGCUAUUGUGAAUUUUGGGAACUUUGGUACUUCUUUGAAUAUGCAUUAUCUACUAUAAUACUAUUUUAUUCUGAAAAUCAUUUGUACUCACACAUGGCUAACACAGUGUCACUGAUUGUAAGCUUUUUAUUUUUUAAAACUUUUUUAUUAUUGUUUUUCCUUGCAUGUGCAAUAUAAUUAUUUGAGUUUUAUUUUUUCUCUCCUUUUUGUAUUUGAAAAACGUCGACAGUAUUGAGAGUUUUCUUUAAUUUUUUUAUUUUGUAGUAAUAUAAGCUUAAAAUACAUAAAAUAAGCUUAAAAUGUCAAUGCAUACCCAGAAAACUUUAGACUAUAAAAACGAUUCUAUUGAUUGUUUCAAAGAAUUAUGGGACAUGAUUCUGUCUGAUUCCAGAAGAAGGGAAUAUACAAAAGAGCCACUGUGCAGUGCUAAAGAAGCCCAGAGUACCUGCAUAGUGCCUAUGGACCUCAAGGUCAAAGAGACCAGAUCCCAGUGGGAUUGAUGUAAUUUUGAGCCAAGACAGGAGGACUUGAACUUAUUUGGGAUUCAAGGUUGUGACUGUUUUGACAUAUGUGAGAGGCUGAACUUCCUCUAAGCCACAUUCUAUCAAGCUCCUCUUUUUCACUGCCAUCCUGGCUCCCACUUGCUGCUGAAAUCUAGUCCCUUUUCUGUAUUUCAUAGUGUGGCAAACUUUCUAUAGUCCUGCCUACUGAUUGGGUAGUGCAUAAUUUCUUAAAUCAUUUUAAUUGGGCCCUGAUUCAAGGACCUGUUAUAGGUUUAUUUUUUCCUUUACUUAGAUUUUUUUAGACAUAAGACUUUUACAUUUUGUAUUGUAUCCACAAGUUAUUUUUCUCUUUUAUUUGGAUACAAUAAUUUUAGGAUAAAAAACUUGCUACCUCCCAGAAUCCAGAAUGUGCCAUGAAGAUAGAUGCCUGCAGAGAUCAUAUGCUGCACCAAAAGAUCCAGAGUGAAUUUUGGGGUGUGAAUUGAACUAUUAGGGGUUGAAAUGCCUUUGUUUUGAAUGUAUACUCUUAUGCCAAAGGGGUCUGCCCCCAAAUUGGCUUUUUGUCAACCUAGGAAUCAUUGGUUUUAUUCUCUUUUCCUUUUAUCAACAAAUUAUUGCAAUUUUUAAGUUGAUUAUGUUUCCAUGAUCCUUUUGGGGAAACUGGUUUCCCAGAAGUAUCACAGGGAGGGGUAUGUAUAAAUGGAGAUUUUGAGACUUUGUACUUCAUCCCCCAAAAGUCCCUUAGUACUUCCCAAAAUUCUCCUUUCCAGCAUUCCCAUGUUUUAUGUGAUUGUAUUUAAGUGACUAUAACUCCUCCCUUGGCCUCUUUUUGACUUGUGACCAGGCUGAACUCAGGUAUUUCUUUUGCUCUAGUUAUUAUUAAUGAAAGUUUAAAAAUAUAAUAGUUAUUGAUUGUUAAUUUUAAAACUCACACUGCUAGAUGUAAAGUAGUACCUCAGAAUUUUUUGAUUUGUAUUUCUUUAAUCAGAUGGGAUUUAGAACAUUUUCUUAAUGUGAUUAUGUGAUUGAUGAGAUCUAAUCACUCAAAUUUAUAAGGAAAUAAAUCAAUUUUACAAAAAAUCAAGCUAUUCCCCAGUUGAUAAAUGCACAAGGGACAUGAAUAUGCAAUUUUCAGAUAAAGAAAUCAAAACUAUUAACAAGUACAUGAAAAAGUGUUCUAAAUCUCUUAUAAUCAGAGAAAUGCAAAUCAAAACAACUCUAAGGUAUCUCCUCACACCUAGCAGAUUGAAUAACAUGACAGCAAUGAAAAGCAAUGAAUGUUGGAAGGGAUGUGGCAAAAUUGGUACAUUAAUGCAUUGCUGGUAAAGUUGUGAACUGAUCUAACCAUUCUGGAAGGCAAUUUGAAACUAUGCUCAAAGGGCUCUAAAAGACUGUCUGCCCUUUGAUCCUGCCAUAGCACUGAUGGGUUUGUACUUCAAAGAGAUAAUAAGGAAAGAGAUUUGUACAAGAAUAUUCAUAGCCAUGUAGUUUGUGGUGGCAAAAAAAAUUGGAAAAUGAGGGGAUUCCCUCCAAUUGGGGAAUGGCUUAACAAGUUGUGGUAUAUGCUGGUAUAUUGUGCUCAAAGGAAUAAUAGAGUGGAGGAAUUCCAUGUGAACUGGAACAACCUUCAGGAAUUGAUGCAGAGUGAAAGGAGCAGAACCAGGAGAACAUUGUACACAGAGACUGAUACACUGUGGUAAAAUCAAAUGUAAUGGACUUCUCUACUAGCAGCAAUGCAAUGAUCCAAGAUUAUUCUGAGGGACAUAUGAGAAAGAACACUAUCCACAUCCAGAGGAAAAAUUGUGGGAGCAGAAACACUGAAGAAAAACAACUGCUUGAUCACAUGGGUUGGUGGGGCUAUGACUGGGAAAGUAGACUCUAAAUGAUCACCCUAGUGCAAAUAUUAAUAAUAAGGAAAUGGGUCUUGAUCGAUACCACAUGUUAAACCCAGUGGAAUUGUGCAUCAGAUAUGGGAGGGGUUGGGGAGAGGAAAAGGAAGGAACAUGAGUCUUGAAACCAUGGAAAACUAUUCUAAAUCAUCUAAUUAAAUAAAAUUUAAAAUAAUAUUUUAAAAAAGAUAAUUUCCUGUAGUAUGCUGUCUAAACUUAUAUUUUUUUUGUCAUGAUUUUCAGAUAAUCCAAUAAUUCUUAAAUUGUCUUUCCUGGAUCUAUUUUCCAGGUCAGUUAUUUUCUCAGUGAGGUGUCUCAUAUUAUCUUCAAUUUUUUUCAUUCUUUUGAUUUUUUUAAUAUGUCUUGAUAUCUUGUAAAGUCAUUAGCUUUUAUUUGCCCAAUUCUAAUCUUUUUUAAACCCUUACCUUCUGUCUUGGAAUCAAUACUGUGUAUUGGUUCCAAGGCAGAAGAGUGGUAAGGGCUAGGCAAUGGGAGUCAAGUGACUUGCCCAGGGUCACACAGCUGGGAAGUGUCUGAGGCCAGAUUUAAACCUAGGACCUCCUGUCUCUAGGCCUAGCUCUCAAUUCACUGAGCCACCCAGCUGCACUCCCCCCCAGUCUAAUUUUUAAAGACUGAAUUUCUUCCAUGACCUUUUGAUUCUCCCUUUCCUUUUGGCCCAUUCUUCUUUUCAAGUCAUUCCUCUCCCAAUUUUUUUUGCAUCAUUUCCCAAUGUCUGUUCCUCUGUUUCCGGGUGACCUAUUUUGCUUUUCAGGCUACUAUUUUCCUCUUGCCAUUUUUUUUAAUCUCUCUUAUUUGAUUUUUAAUUUUUUUAAACUCCUCCAUAGCCAGCAUCUAAUUCAAUGUUUUUUGUUUUUUGGUUUUUUUUGAGGCUUUGCUUGAUGUUUCCUGGAUCUCAUCCUUAUCCAUUGGUUCUGUUCUUUGGUCCUUACCCCCUGUAAUAGCAAGGGUGAUUUUGAAAAGGAAGGAACCACUGAACAGCUGUUUGGGGAUUGAAUUCUAUGUGACACUUCCUCCCCCAUCCCUAAGCUGACCAAUGGAGUCAGUCAGAAUAGACUAAAGAGUAAGUUUGUUCCCCUCAGCCUCCUUCUUAACUGAUGGGUUGAAAUUCCCCUCCUAACACAUAGACUCUGAAUCAAGUUCUAGUAUACCUCAAGAUAUCUAGUUUAUUUGGGUAUAAGGUUGUUGAAAGAAUAAGGAAAGGAAAGGACAGAGGGUAGAGGAAGUCCCUAAAUUUUUCUUUCCUAUAUAGUUUUUUGAGAGUUUGGCCAAGGAAAUCUUUUCAGGAAUAAGCUUUGGGUUCUGUAGUAGAGGCAUGAAGAAAGAAGACUUACAAGAUAAGCCAAGCAUGCAAGAAACCAAGCUGGGGACAUGAUCUGCAAAAUCAAGGUAAAGAUUCCAAACAGAACCUUCCCAGGAAGAAGCAGUUGAAGCUGGCAAGGGGGAGAAACUGUUUUGCUCUCUCUAGUUAACUGAACAAGAAAGGAGAGAAACCUCUGCUCUUCUCUCUUUGGGGGUCCCUGAUCAAUAGAGACUGGCUUUUCCUGAUUUAGGCAGAGAGAGAGAGAUCUUUGUGAUUUUUGACAGAGUCUGGAUUUGAGUUACUCAAGCAGAGAUUAUCUGACUGAAGAAAGAAGAAAAGAAUAACAGUGGUCCUCCAUCUCUCUAACUGUCCCUCUGUCACAGUUGUUACUGGACUGAUUUCCCAAAUUCCUCCUAUUCUUCAUUAUAGAUUAGGGAAACCCUCAUCCCUCUUACCUCAGUUUCUCAUCCUGUUUCCCAAUAAACCCCCUGACUUGAAAAAGGAAAAGAAAAGAGUAUCUUUAUAAUCCACUCAGUGGGGAGGGGCGAAGCCACAAGUUUCAAAAGAAACUGGGAGGGAGAGGCUGGAAGAAGGGAGGGGUUGAGGGAGUGUGUGGGAUCUGGGAAUGAAGGGAGGAGGUUAGGAAAUAGAUUGAUCCAUCAGCUGUCAAUACAGAUUAUAGGCAAACCCCAGAGCAUUCCCCUGUAGCAGUAUCUCUCUCACUAUCUCUAUAUCUGAAGUAGUACCUCUAUCUCCAUUACAACCAAGCAUCCUUAGGCUCCCCUAGCAUCUCCAUAGUAACUCUCUAGUCUGCCAGAGUAUAGUCAUUUACCGAAACCAGAUUAUAAUAGUUUCCACAAGUUAUCAUUUUAUUACAGUUCCCUUAAGGGAAAAAGAGAGUCUUUAUCCCAAAGACUGGCUUCAGUUGAGAAUUGAUAUCUUCUUCCAUUCAAGCAAAGGAUUUUGAGGUUUGUAGUUCCUCCACCCAACUCCACAGAGUCCCAGAUAAGAACAACUUUGGGUCUCUUCCUCCAACUGCUUUUGAACAUGGAUGGAACUCCAUCCCAUCCCCCAAGGUCUUAUGAAGGUUCCAUUUGCUCCUCUUCUCAGCAUCUCUUCAAACUUCAAAUUUCUCUUUGCUCCUGGUCAUCCCCUUGUUCACACCCCCAUUGAAGUUUACAAUUGUAGCCUUUUUCCCCCCUCUCAUUUUCUCAUUUUACUUACCUUUUUCUUGCCCUAUGGACUAUAUAGAUUUGCCCCUCUGCUGAUUUACUGAAGCAGAGUGUUUGAGCUGUUAAGCCCUGAGACUGAAUCUUCUUUUUUUUUUCCAUUCCCUGCUAUUAUACUGGAUUUAGCUGGUUGAGCUAACCUGCUGAGCUGGCCUACCCUGGAGCAAAAUUUUCACUGUAACAAGCAGGCUGAGGGUGCCCAGCCUGUUGGACCCCUCUAGUUCCUCCCUAACAGUCCUUACCAGAGCUCUGGACCCACGUGGUGGGUCAGAUGUGAACCCUAGAGACUAUGGUCUCUGCCCAUGGUGCUCACAUUCAGCUCAGUCUUAUUGUAGGUCUCAGGGCUGUGUGGGGCAGGGGGUUUACCCAGCCUGUGUCUCCCUUUUCCUGUGAAAAUAGAUACACUGUGCCUACCUUUCAAGUUGUUUUCAGUAGGAGAAUCUCGUGACUUCUUGUUGAGUUUGGAUGUCUAUUUUCUUUGAAAUGAGAAAUAAAUAUUGGUUUGUGUAAUGGAAGAGAUGAAAGGAGGGAGAAAGGGGAGGUUCAAGGAGGAUUUACUCUCCUCCAUUACAGAGAGGGGAGAUGUAAACUAGGCACUGUCUUCACAGAGGGGGAUGUGAACAAUGGAGGCCAGGAGACAGGAGAAAGGGUCACUCAAAGAAGUAACACUGUGCUUCCCUCAGAGGAGUUAAGGCCCUUAAGGUCAUAAUUGUAUUUGUGGGACAAAAUGACCCUUUUGUGGUGUUCACUUCCCUGGGGGCAUCAACAGUCAGCCCCAAGGGUUUAGAUAUGGCUAGCUGCCAAGGAAAGAGUGAUGGCUUCCUUGGUCAUAAAGGCAGAGGUUGGACUCAACCUCUGUCUCUGUGAAAGCCUAGUCUCCCUACUUGAUUCCUAAGAUAAACCUGAGCCUAGAGUCUAAAUAUCUUCAAUAGUCCAUUGAGGUUGUAUGGGGCAAGUGAUGGUAAAGGUGUGAGGAGAAAAGGAAAGAGGUGAAAGGGGAGCCCCAAACGCACCCCCCCCCCUUGUAGAUUAGCUUUCAAAGUCUGGAGACCAGAGGUCAUGGUGCCUUGGCCUCCUUCUUCACUAUCUGCUUCUUUUCUUAUACUUAAGCUUAGCUAAAUCCUAAAUCUAGUUCAAAGAGGUAUAUCAAGGAAGUUUUAUCCCCUCCCCCUCCUGAGUAGCCUGUCCAUCAAACAUUCCUGAGAUAGCACAGUUGCACCAGGUUUUGCCUCCAUCAAUGUGGGGUGGGUCAACAUAGGUGAAGGUUUGUAGAGAAUUGGGGGAGAAUGGAGAAGAGAACAGAGGAGGCAGGUGGGGGGGGGAAGAGGGAAAAGACUGGAAGGCUAGGCACUGUAAUAGAUGAUAUUUGAGGGUGUAUAUUUGAUGGUAUGUUGGAUAACUAGUGGAUCAAGUUUUGCCUACCCUCCUCCCAUUUUCCUCCCUCUUUGGAAACCUUUCAGCUUCCCCUCCCCCUUUCUUCAGUCUCCCUCAAAUCACUCAGUAUGAGCUAUGAGAUUGCAAUGAAAUAGUUCUUAAUCUUUGUCAAACAAGGGGUUUAUUUGGGGAAGACAGGAUAAGGUUGGAGGAUAAGGUAAGAGGAGUAGGAUUUCCUUAUCUACAAUGAGUGUUGAUUUGGAGGAUAUUGAGGGAAAUGGAAAUUCUGUCACAAGCAUGAAAUAGAGUCAGUCAGAGAGAUAUAUAAGAACCGCUGUCCUUCUUUCUUUUCCCUUCUAAUUAGCCAGGUCACCUCCAACUUGAUUAUCACAAGUCCCAAAGAUACAACUAGCUUCUUCCUCCACAUCAGCUAGAAGCUAAAAGCCUUUUUGCCCAGUCCAGCAGUUGGCUUGGCUCCAACUGCUUUUCCCAGUAAUAUUCCAAAUGGAAUCUUCAUUUGACUGACAGAUGACCCAUCUCUAGCUUCUUGUCUUGCUGCAUUUUCUUAUAAUUUCUCUCUUCUCCACAGCACCACGUGGUCAGGUUACUUAUAGGAAUGCUUGUCUACUGUAAAAUUGAGAUUUGAACUCUGGACUUGCAAUCCCCACAAGCCCUUGCUCCACUUCCCCAAAAUGCUUUGUAAUCUCACAGGAAUUCUGAGGUGGGCUGAGAUCGAGAAAGGAUUUAACCUGAUUGCAAAGGAUUUUGUGUUUCUUUUGGACUUCCAUCUUGGGGCAGACGUGGCUCUUUCCAUAAUGUAGGUGAGGUCUUGUCUAGGCCUCUCUGGCCUAGGCACGUUUUCCUUAUCCUGUAUUUUCUUUAAUCCUUAAUCUUCAAUAAACCUUUAAAAAUAUAAUACUCCUUGCAGAGAGAAACUAAUUUCUACCUGCCUCAGUCUCCCCUAAAUUUUAAUCUUUACAGUUUGGUGUAACCACUUCGGGCAAACAAAAUAUCUCAAUCUUCUGAUUUAAUCUUUAAUAGCUAGUGCCUAGAAUUUUUUUUAAGCCACGUUUCUACAAGAUGCUUUUUAGAAAACUAUCUUGAUCAUCUCUUGCCUGCGGCCCUCUCCUGCUCCUGUAGCCUCUCACCUUGUGCCCGAGCUCCCGGCCCUGCUUGUCUUUUUUUUACCCUCGCAAAGCUGUUGAUCAGCUCCUGCCUGCCUGCCGACGCCAUCCGAUUCGGACAGCUGCUUCUCCCGGCCCCAAUUGGCCCUGCUUGUCUGCGCUCCGGCUCUGGCCCUGGCCCAGCGGAGUUUCUCUCACUCACCUGGCCCACCUGAUUCAACUAAGAUUGCAAUCAACUGGUGACCUGCAUGCCCAACAAACCCAGAUCCUUGGUAGGUAACAAAAUGGGGGGGAGUAUUGGCUCCACGUGGGCAGCCUGGGCUCCACGUGGACUGGGGCAGGAGGAGGUAUCAGAGCAGGGGAGAGAGAAAAAGAGAGAGAAGAAACAGACUUUUCAAGCAGGAACCUUAAUAGCAAUGGGCUGUUUUAAAAGAAUACCUUUUGACUGUUCUGGUAAUUUCAUUGAUUUCACCUGUGUGCCAGAAGAAAGAUUCAGCCCAAAGAUUCAACUUUGGGGAGGCAAAUGGGUGGCUCAGCGAACUGGGAGCCAGACCUAAAGACAUGCGGUCCUGGGUUAAAAUCUGGCCUCAGAUACUUCCCAGCUGUGGGGCCCUGGACGGGUCCCUUGAACCCCAUUGCCUAGCCCUUACCACUCUGCCUUUGGACAAUAGACAUUUAAAUGGAUAAUUAAUUAAAAGAAAAAAACACACCCAAAGAAUUUCAAAGAGACUAAAGGAUAUGUUUUAAGGCAUUUCAGACUCCAAUGGUUCAUAAAAAUCUCUGUAUUCUAUUGCAUUUUUUGUUUUAAUGUUUAACUUUGUGAUUUUAAGUUCAUAUAUUACUAGAUUCAAUAUUAUUCUGCUUGAACUGAAGGUUGAUUGAAUUUAUUUUGAAUGUACUUAGUUUUAAAAAUUCUGUUGUUUUUCCCCUAUAACUGUGCUAAAAAAUAUUAUUUAAUAAGCCCAUAUAUGAAAAAACAGCUUUUUUCUAUUUUGCCAAGGAUAGAUGGACUUCAGAACUGGUUACAAUUGUAUAAAACCUUUGGAAAAAUUAAUGUGCUAAAUAUCUCAAAUGAUUUUAAGGGUUUUUUAAAUAUGAUUUUU